UGCAGUCGAGCGGUAGCACAGAGAGCUUGCUCUCGGGUGACGAGCGGCGGACGGGUGAGUAAUGUCUGGGAAACUGCCUGAUGGAGGGGGAUAACUACUGGAAACGGUAGCUAAUACCGCAUAACGUCGCAAGACCAAAGUGGGGGACCUUCGGGCCUCAUGCCAUCAGAUGUGCCCAGAUGGGAUUAGCUAGUAGGUGGGGUAACGGCUCACCUAGGCGACGAUCCCUAGCUGGUCUGAGAGGAUGACCAGCCACACUGGAACUGAGACACGGUCCAGACUCCUACGGGAGGCAGCAGUGGGGAAUAUUGCACAAUGGGCGCAAGCCUGAUGCAGCCAUGCCGCGUGUGUGAAGAAGGCCUUCGGGUUGUAAAGCACUUUCAGCGGGGAGGAAGGCGUUAAGGUUAAUAACCUUGGCGAUUGACGUUACCCGCAGAAGAAGCACCGGCUAACUCCGUGCCAGCAGCCGCGGUAAUACGGAGGGUGCAAGCGUUAAUCGGAAUUACUGGGCGUAAAGCGCACGCAGGCGGUCUGUCAAGUCGGAUGUGAAAUCCCCGGGCUCAACCUGGGAACUGCAUUCGAAACUGGCAGGCUAGAGUCUUGUAGAGGGGGGUAGAAUUCCAGGUGUAGCGGUGAAAUGCGUAGAGAUCUGGAGGAAUACCGGUGGCGAAGGCGGCCCCCUGGACAAAGACUGACGCUCAGGUGCGAAAGCGUGGGGAGCAAACAGGAUUAGAUACCCUGGUAGUCCACGCCGUAAACGAUGUCGAUUUGGAGGUUGUGCCCUUGAGGCGUGGCUUCCGGAGCUAACGCGUUAAAUCGACCGCCUGGGGAGUACGGCCGCAAGGUUAAAACUCAAAUGAAUUGACGGGGGCCCGCACAAGCGGUGGAGCAUGUGGUUUAAUUCGAUGCAACGCGAAGAACCUUACCUGGUCUUGACAUCCACAGAACUUUCCAGAGAUGGAUUGGUGCCUUCGGGAACUGUGAGACAGGUGCUGCAUGGCUGUCGUCAGCUCGUGUUGUGAAAUGUUGGGUUAAGUCCCGCAACGAGCGCAACCCUUAUCCUUUGUUGCCAGCGGUUCGGCCGGGAACUCAAAGGAGACUGCCAGUGAUAAACUGGAGGAAGGUGGGGAUGACGUCAAGUCAUCAUGGCCCUUACGACCAGGGCUACACACGUGCUACAAUGGCAUAUACAAAGAGAAGCGACCUCGCGAGAGCAAGCGGACCUCAUAAAGUAUGUCGUAGUCCGGAUUGGAGUCUGCAACUCGACUCCAUGAAGUCGGAAUCGCUAGUAAUCGUAGAUCAGAAUGCUACGGUGAAUACGUUCCCGGGCCUUGUACACACCGCCCGUCACACCAUGGGAGUGGGUUGCAAAAGAAGUAGGUAGCUUAACCUUCGGGAGGGC
This 1402-nucleotide ribosomal RNA is filed under the name Klebsiella pneumoniae. RNAcentral's name for it is "bacterial SSU rRNA". It matches the Rfam family "Bacterial small subunit ribosomal RNA". The record is from RNAcentral. Lineage: Bacteria; Pseudomonadati; Pseudomonadota; Gammaproteobacteria; Enterobacterales; Enterobacteriaceae.